Molecule: ribosomal RNA, 133 nt
Filed under: uncultured bacterium
Lineage: Bacteria
Description: partial 16S ribosomal RNA
Source: RNAcentral
GAGGUACCUUCAGACCCGGUGGGUAUUAACCACCGAGCGUUAUUCCUCCUGACAGACCUUUACAACCACAAGGGCCUUCAUCAGUCACGCGGCGUCGCUCGGUCAGGCUUUCGCCCAUUGCCGAAGCUUCUCG